AGUGAACGCUGGCGGUAGGCCUAACACAUGCAAGUCGAACGGCAGCACAGUAAGAGCUUGCUCUUACGGGUGGCGAGUGGCGGACGGGUGAGGAAUACAUCGGAAUCUACUUUUUCGUGGGGGAUAACGUAGGGAAACUUACGCUAAUACCGCAUACGACCUACGGGUGAAAGCAGGGGAUCUUUGGACCUUGCGCGAUUGAAUGAGCCGAUGUCGGAUUAGCUAGUUGGCGGGGUAAAGGCCCACCAAGGCGACGAUCCGUAGCUGGUCUGAGAGGAUGAUCAGCCACACUAGAACUGAGACACGGUCCAGACUCCUACGGGAGGCAGCAGUGGGGAAUAUUGGACAAUGGGCGCAAGCCUGAUCCAGCCAUACCGCGUGGGUGAAGAAGGCCUUCGGGUUGUAAAGCCCUUUUGUUGGGAAAGAAAAGCAGCAGGUUAAUACCCCGCUGUUCUGACGGUACCCAAAGAAUAAGCACCGGCUAACUUCGUG
RNAcentral lists this ribosomal RNA (492 nucleotides) under uncultured bacterium. RNAcentral's name for it is "partial 16S ribosomal RNA". It matches the Rfam family "Bacterial small subunit ribosomal RNA", at positions 29 to 507 of the family's 1533-position model. The record is from RNAcentral.